Molecule: transfer RNA, 63 nt
Filed under: Onchidella borealis
Lineage: Eukaryota; Metazoa; Mollusca; Gastropoda; Systellommatophora; Onchidiidae
Description: tRNA-Arg
Source: RNAcentral
GCCUAAGAAGCGUAAUAUAUGCAUUAAGUUUCGACCUUAACUCUGAGAAUUCCUCCAUAGGCU